This 449-nucleotide ribosomal RNA is filed under the name uncultured bacterium. RNAcentral describes it as "partial 16S ribosomal RNA". It matches the Rfam family "Bacterial small subunit ribosomal RNA", at positions 29 to 523 of the family's 1533-position model. The record is from RNAcentral.
AGCGAACGCUGGCGGCAGGCUUAACACAUGCAAGUCGAACGGGCACUUCGGUGUCAGUGGCAGACGGGUGAGUAACACGUGGGAACGUACCUUUUGGUUCGGAACAACUGAGGGAAACUUCAGCUAAUACCGGAUAAGCCCUUACGGGGAAAGAUUUAUCGCCGAAAGAUCGGCCCGCGUCUGAUUAGCUAGUUGGUAGGGUAAUGGCCUACCAAGGCGACGAUCAGUAGCUGGUCUGAGAGGAUGAUCAGCCACAUUGGGACUGAGACACGGCCCAAACUCCUACGGGAGGCAGCAGUGGGGAAUAUUGGACAAUGGGGGCAACCCUGAUCCAGCCAUGCCGCGUGAGUGAUGAAGGCCCUAGGGUUGUAAAGCUCUUUUGUGCGGGAAGAUAAUGACGGUACCGCAAGAAUAAGCCCCGGCUAACUUCGUGCCAGCCGCCGCCGUAA